This 86-nucleotide transfer-messenger RNA is filed under the name Acidobacteriota bacterium. RNAcentral's name for it is "Acidobacteria bacterium partial transfer-messenger RNA". It matches the Rfam family "transfer-messenger RNA", at positions 288 to 374 of the family's 374-position model. From Rfam's summary of the family: Bacterial tmRNA, also known as 10Sa RNA or SsrA, is named for its dual tRNA and mRNA-like properties. Its role is to liberate the mRNA from a stalled ribosome. Lineage: Bacteria; Pseudomonadati; Acidobacteriota. The record is from RNAcentral.
CGCGAAACUAAAGCGGUGGGCUAAGCAUGUAGAGGCUUUACGCCGAUAGUUUUCGGACGCGGGUUCGAUUCCCGCCGCCUCCACUU